CGGGGGGCUGCAGCAGUGAGGAAUAUUGCACAAUGGGGGAAACCCUGAUGCAGCAACGCCGCGUGGAGGAUGACGCAUUUCGGUGUGUAAACUCCUUUUAUGAGUCAAGAAAAUGACGGUAGCUCAUGAAUAAGCACCGGCUAACUCCGUGCCAGCAGCCGCGGUAAUACGGAGGGUGCAAGCGUUACUCGGAAUCACUGGGCGUAAAGGACGCGUAGGCGGGCUUGUAAGUCAGGUGUGAAAUCCUACAGCUUAACUGUAGAACUGCACUUGAAACUACGAGCCUAGAGUAUGGGAGGGGCAGAUGGAAUUAGUGGUGUAGGGGUAAAAUCCGUAGAUAUCACUAGGAAUACCGAAAGCGAAGGCGAUCUGCUGGAACAUUACUGACGCUAAGGCGUGAAAGCGUGGGGAGCAAACGGGAUUAGAUACCCUUGUAGUC
RNAcentral lists this ribosomal RNA (439 nucleotides) under uncultured bacterium. RNAcentral's name for it is "partial 16S ribosomal RNA". It matches the Rfam family "Bacterial small subunit ribosomal RNA", at positions 339 to 795 of the family's 1533-position model. The record is from RNAcentral.